GAGAGACAUGCCAUCAGUGGGCAAGGACGAAGUGCAUUCCUCUGAGGUCAGAGUUGCCUGGAAGUAUGAUUGAGGCUGGCAGAUCGCUCCAGUGGGCAUGCAUUCGAUUUGUGUCCCCUUUGCAGGGGCCGUCACAUUGAGAGACAUGCUAUUGGCGGGGAAGGAUGAAGUGCUUCCUUCUGAGAACAGAGGUGCCCUGGAUCCUGGAAUCCCUAUUGCCAAGGCUGGCAUUUUGCUCCAGAGCGGGCAGUCGCCUUGAGAGAAAUGCCAUUGGGGGCGAGUAUGAUGUGCAUUCCUUUUGAGGACAGAGUUGCCUGGAAUCGUGGAAUCGCUGUGGCCAAGGCUGGCAGAUCACUUCAGAGGGGGCAGUUGCGUUGAAAGACAUGGCAUCGGAGGGGGGAAUGAAGUGCAUUCCUUCUGAGGACAGAGGUCCUCAGAUACUGGAAUCGCUGUGGCCAAGGUUGGCAGUUUGCUCCACAGGGGGCAGUCACCUUGAGAGACAUGCCAUCGGCAGGCAAGGAUGAGGUACAUUCCUUCUUAGGACAGAUUUGCCUGGAAUCCUGGAACUGCUAUGGCCGAGGAUGGCAGAUUGCUCCGGAGGGAGAAGUUGCCUUGAGAAGUAUUCCAUCAGCAGGCGAGCAUGAGGACCAUUCCUUCUGAGGCCAGAGGUGCCUAACAUCCUGGAAUCUCUGUGGCUAAGACUGGC
Long non-coding RNA from Nycticebus coucang (slow loris), 706 nucleotides. RefSeq lists it as uncharacterized. The transcript is spliced from 6 exons. Lineage: Eukaryota; Metazoa; Chordata; Mammalia; Primates; Lorisidae. The record is from RefSeq and is a predicted model, not a curated record.